Long non-coding RNA from Mytilus trossulus (common blue mussel), 1062 nucleotides. RefSeq lists it as uncharacterized. The record is from RefSeq and is a predicted model, not a curated record. NCBI's taxonomy places the organism in Eukaryota, Metazoa, Mollusca, Bivalvia, Mytilida, Mytilidae. The transcript is spliced from 3 exons.
UUGUGUUCAGUCUUUUAACGCACAUAUUCAAGACAAGUGUUCUAAAUUGAACACUUAAAAUGUUCUUAUAUUGUAAUGGGGAGUGAAAUUUUUUUUCAUCAUUUCAGAGUCAAACAGACGAUGAAUAAGGGUGAUUCGUACUAUGAUUUGACGAUAAAUGUAUUUUAGCUGUAUCGGCAUAUAAGCAAAUUAUAGUUUGGUAAAAAAAAAAUGAAACAUUUUACAAGAGCGUAUUUAUAAGCGUGCAAAUGAUUGAUUUUUAAUAUGAAUCUUUUUCUAAACGACUUAAGUUCUUAAGGUAUUUUUUUUAACAAUGUAAAUGCGUAAAUGCUCAUGAAAACGUUGCUCUUGUAAAAGCGUUCUGGUGUCGAACAUGAUGCGUUCAAAUUUACCAUUUUCCCUGAACGCCAUGUGUUCCAAACAUAUCCGCGUACAUAACAGCGCGUGACGUAUUAAUGUACCGGAAGUUUGGUUUUUGAUCGUGAUUGAAGAAGCUUCACUGAAGAAAAUUAACAACAAAACUUGAUAUAAUAGGGUACAAACCCAACUAUACUAUACUUAAGGGUAAUUGUUCGUGCAUACCUCGAGAAUAAAGAGAACAUGUUGCAGUUCAAGAGAUGACUACUUAUCCUGCACCAUAAAAGUACUAUAUAACUUACGGUUGAUGGAUAACAAGGUUAAAGAGUAGUUAACCCAAGGAGACGAAUCCUCUAAAAAUGGAAGCUCAAAAUCAGUUGUAAAUGACUCAAAUCAUGUUUAAAAGUGUCCAAGGAAGCAGUGUUACAUGAACGUCGACUCGACUACUAGCAGGAUAUACACAGGGUAUUUUAUGUUUGAUAUUGACUAUCUGAGUGCUAUGCAGCCAGUGGAUUAUGGAACAUUUUGGUGAUAAAAGAGUCAGUGGCAUCAGUAUUUUGUAAAGAAAUUCAGAACAGUUCUUGACUUAGGAAGUUGCAAACGAUGAGUUAAACAUAAGACACUUGACUUUGUUGUAACAUAAUAAUUUUAAAUAUAUGACGAACAUUUUGUUUAUGAGUAAAUAUUUGGACACAUUUUGCAAAU